CGGCUCAGUAACACGUGGAUAACCUGCCCUUGGGUCCGGCAUAACCCCGGGAAACUGGGGAUAAUUCCGGAUAACGCACAUAUGCUGGAAUGCUUUAUGCGUCAAAUGGAUUCGUCCGCCCAAGGAUGGGUCUGCGGCCUAUCAGGUAGUAGUGGGUGUAAUGUACCUACUAGCCUACGACGGGUACGGGUUGUGAGAGCAAGAGCCCGGAGAUGGAUUCUGAGACAUGAAUCCAGGCCCUACGGGGCGCAGCAGGCGCGAAAACUUUACAAUGCGGGAAACCGUGAUAAGGGGACACCGAGUGCCAGCAUCAUAUGCUGGCUGUCCGGGUGUGUAAAAUACACCUGUUAGCAAGGGCCGGGCAAGACCGGUGCCAGCCGCCGCGGUAACACCGGCGGCCCGAGUGGUGAUCGUGAUUAUCGGGUCUAAAGGGUCCGUAGCCGGUUUGGUCAGUCCUCCGGGAAAUCUGACGGCUCAACCGUUAGGCUUUCGGGGGAUACUGCCAGACUUGGAACCGGGAGAGGUAAGAGGUACUACAGGGGUAGGAGCGAAAUCUUGUAAUCCCUGUGGGACCACCUGUGGCGAAGGCGUCUUACCAGAACGGGUUCGACGGUGAGGGACGAAAGCUGGGGGCACGAACCGGAUUAGAUACCCGGGUAGUCCCAGCCGUAAACGAUGCUCGCUAGGUGUCAGGCAUGGCGCGACCGUG
RNAcentral lists this ribosomal RNA (709 nucleotides) under uncultured Methanosarcina sp. RNAcentral describes it as "bacterial SSU rRNA". It matches the Rfam family "Archaeal small subunit ribosomal RNA", at positions 83 to 793 of the family's 1478-position model. Lineage: Archaea; Methanobacteriati; Methanobacteriota; Methanomicrobia; Methanosarcinales; Methanosarcinaceae. The record is from RNAcentral.